This 330-nucleotide ribosomal RNA is filed under the name uncultured Aquicella sp. Its description in RNAcentral is "bacterial SSU rRNA". It matches the Rfam family "Bacterial small subunit ribosomal RNA", at positions 568 to 898 of the family's 1533-position model. The record is from RNAcentral. Lineage: Bacteria; Pseudomonadati; Pseudomonadota; Gammaproteobacteria; Legionellales; Coxiellaceae.
CGCGUAGGCGGUGAGAUGUGUGUGAUGUGAAAGCCCCGGGCUUAACCUGGGAAGUGCAUUGCAAACUGUCUGACUGGAGUAUAUGAGAGGGUGGCGGAAUUUCCGGUGUAGCGGUGAAAUGCGUAGAUAUCGGAAGGAACGUCAAUGGCGAAGGCAGCCACCUGGCAUAAUACUGACGCUGAGGCGCGAAAGCGUGGGGAUCGAACAGGAUUAGAUACCCUGGUAGUCCACGCUGUAAACGAUGAGUACUAGAUGUUGGUAGGGGAACCUAUCAGUAUCGAAGCUAACGCGAUAAGUACUCCGCCUGGGAAGUACGGCCGCAAGGUUGAA